UUCUGUCUUUCCCAUCUUGCAUUAAACAAAAUCAAGGACUUUUUCUUACAGGCCAGUUCUAGGAAAAUGGAAAGUAAAAUGCUUAUUGUGGCCAAAAUUCAGAAACAUAAGGGAUAGGAGAACAUCAGGAAUCAAUUUAAAUUCUGGAGCAUCAUGAUAUGGAGGCAGAGGAACUGUGGAAUGAACUUAAAGAAGUUGUUAAGGGUAACUGUGAAAAGAGCCUGCCAAAGACCAAGAAACAGAAGGCAAACUGAUGUCAGAACAAAUGAUGGAAAUUGCCAAGAGUAGAGAAGCCAAAAGUAUGAAAGACAAAGAAAAGAACUUAACAAAGUGUUUCAGAAAGCUGUUAGAAAGACAAGAAGCAGUAUUAUGAAAACAUCUGUAAAGAAUUAAAAUCAAAAACACACAAAGAAACAAGGAAAGUCUUCCAAAAAAUUUCUGAACUCAGAGGAGCAUGCCAACUCAAAUUAGUAUGAUAAAGAAUGCCAAUGGGGAGAUAGUAAUUUAUUCCAAGAAAAUUAAAGAUAGGAGGAAUAUA
Non-coding RNA from Pantherophis guttatus, 538 nucleotides. The record is from RefSeq and is a predicted model, not a curated record. Lineage: Eukaryota; Metazoa; Chordata; Lepidosauria; Squamata; Colubridae.